Non-coding RNA from Cinara cedri, 227 nucleotides. Lineage: Eukaryota; Metazoa; Arthropoda; Insecta; Hemiptera; Aphididae. The record is from the annotation of a GenBank genome assembly.
GGAAAAUUAUAAAACGGUUUUCUAAUUUAUUUACUAGACACAUUUUUCUUUCGGAAAAAAUGAGUAAAUAGCAGUCGGACCAAUAUUUAAAGUAGAAUGAUUGUUAACAGACAAGGGAAAUAACCACAUCCUAUAGUUGAACCAAUACUUUACUCAUUACACUCAGUGUCUAAAAAAAAAAAAGAAAACAUUUGGAAUACAAUAAUUUUGUUCGUAUAAUGAUGAUG